UCCAGUGCAAUUGCUCAUCCA
Molecule: unclassified non-coding RNA, 21 nt
Filed under: Mus musculus (house mouse)
Lineage: Eukaryota; Metazoa; Chordata; Mammalia; Rodentia; Muridae
Description: oocyte_clustered_small_RNA11987
Source: RNAcentral